Molecule: long non-coding RNA, 270 nt
Filed under: Mytilus galloprovincialis (Mediterranean mussel)
Lineage: Eukaryota; Metazoa; Mollusca; Bivalvia; Mytilida; Mytilidae
Source: RNAcentral
GUUGCGACAUGUCGUAACUUAAUAAUUUUAGUUGAAAGGGUGCGUAGACAAUGAAUGGGAGUUUUUGCCCCUAUCAUAUCUAAAAUUAUGUGUAAAGUGAUAUAACUUAUUAACCAUACAUAUUAGAGACCUAGGGUCUUUUGAUUUGAGAUCCUCAGUUUGUGACCUUGAAAUUGAGGUCAAGGUCAUAGGUUAAUUUGACGUUCUAGAUUUUGACCUUUGCUUUAAAUUCAUAUCUAUACAUCAUAAAGCCAUAUGAACUGACAUUUU